This 439-nucleotide ribosomal RNA is filed under the name uncultured bacterium. RNAcentral describes it as "partial 16S ribosomal RNA". It matches the Rfam family "Bacterial small subunit ribosomal RNA", at positions 339 to 795 of the family's 1533-position model. The record is from RNAcentral.
CUACGGGGCGCUCCAGUGAGGAAUAUCGCACAAUGGGGGGAACCCUGAUGCAGCAACGCCGCGUGGAGGAUGACGCAUUUCGGUGUGUAAACUCCUUUUAUAUGUCAAGAAGAUGACGGUAGCAUAUGAAUAAGCACCGGCUAACUCCGUGCCAGCAGCCGCGGUAAUACGGAGGGUGCAAGCGUUACUCGGAAUCACUGGGCGUAAAGGACGCGUAGGCGGGUUGGAAAGUCAGGUGUGAAAUCCUACAGCUUAACUGUAGAACUGCACUUGAAACUUCUAAUCUAGAGUAUGGGAGGGGGAGAUGGAAUUAGUGGUGUAGGGGUAAAAUCCGUAGAUAUCACUAGGAAUACCUAAAGCGAAGGCGAUCUCCUGGAACAUUACUGACGCUAAGGCGUGAAAGCGUGGGGAGCAAACAGGAUUAGAUACCCGCGUAGUC